AACUGACAUAAUGACCAUAGCAGUAGCACUCAUGCUGCAGACCUGUCAAAUUCUAAUGAAUCUGUGAAUUCUGCU
Molecule: ribozyme, 75 nt
Filed under: Crocodylus porosus (Australian saltwater crocodile)
Lineage: Eukaryota; Metazoa; Chordata; Crocodylia; Crocodylidae
Description: Mammalian CPEB3 ribozyme (ENSCPRG00005009138.1)
Rfam family: Mammalian CPEB3 ribozyme
About the family: The mammalian CPEB3 ribozyme is a self cleaving RNA located in the second intron of the CPEB3 gene which belongs to a family of genes regulating messenger RNA polyadenylation. This ribozyme is highly conserved and found only in mammals.
Source: Rfam by way of RNAcentral